GCGAAAACUUUACAAUGCGGGAAACCGCGAUAAGGGGACACCGAGUGCCAGCAUCCUAUGUUGGCUGUCCAUAUGUAUAAAUAACAUGUGUUAGCAAGGGCCGGGCAAGACCGGUGCCAGCCGCCGCGGUAACACCGGCGGCCCGAGUGGUGGCCACUAUUAUUGGGUCUAAAGGGUCCGUAGCCGGUUUGGUCAGUCUUCCGGGAAAUCUGACGGCUUAACCGUUAGGCUUUCGGGGGAUACUGCCAGGCUUGGGACCGGGAGAGGUAAGAGGUACUACGGGGGUAGGAGUGAAAUCUUGUAAUCCCUGUGGGACCACCAGUGGCGAAGGCGUCUUACCAGAACGGACCUGACGGCAAGGGACGAAAGCUAGGGGCACGAACC
This 384-nucleotide ribosomal RNA is filed under the name uncultured prokaryote. RNAcentral describes it as "bacterial SSU rRNA". It matches the Rfam family "Archaeal small subunit ribosomal RNA", at positions 341 to 725 of the family's 1478-position model. The record is from RNAcentral.